AAAAAAUUUCUCUAACGGGAACCCUAACGGGCAUUUAUAUGACUAUGAUUGCAUAUAAGUAUAAUUGUAUUUUUUCUUUCAGGUUUAUCCUAUGAAGUUCUAGAAAGAAAAGGAUAAUGACAUUUUUUUUCUAUAGGUCUUGACCAACACACGUGCCAGCAGUCGCGGUAAUACGUGGGAGACUAGUGUUAAUCAUCUUUAUUGGGUUUAAAGGGUACCUAGACGGUCAAUUUCGCCUCCAAAAAGGUACGAUUUGGACUAGAGUUUUAUGGGAAAGGAGAUAUGGAAUUAGCAGAGAAGAGAUAAAAUUUGAAGAUACUGUUAAGAACCGAUAACGGCGAAAGCAAUCCUUUAUGUAAAAACUGACGUUAAGGGACGAAGGCUUGGGGAGCAAACAGGAUUAGAUACCCUGGUAGUCCAAGCAGUAAAUUAUGAGUGCCAUGUGUUAGAUAAAAUUUUGAUGCAUAAAUGAAAGUGUAAGCAUUCCACCUCAAGAGUAAAGCGGCAACGCCGGAACUGAAAUCAUUAGACCGUUUCUGUGACCAGUAGUGAAGCAUGUUGUUUAAUUUGAUGAUCCGCAAAAAACCUUACCACAGCUUGAAUAGCGUAGUGUAUUCACUACAUACAGGUACUGCAUGGCUGUCUUCAGUUAAUGUCGUGAGACACAGGUUAAUUCCGUUAAAUUAACGAAAACCCCUGCUUUAUUUGUUUUUAUAAAGCAAUACUCUAAUACAAUGGGUAUGAUAAGAGGGAGCAAGACAAGUAAUCACGGUCCU
RNAcentral lists this ribosomal RNA (776 nucleotides) under Arthonia mediella. RNAcentral's name for it is "mitochondrial SSU rRNA". It matches the Rfam family "Bacterial small subunit ribosomal RNA", at positions 1 to 1202 of the family's 1533-position model. Lineage: Eukaryota; Fungi; Ascomycota; Arthoniomycetes; Arthoniales; Arthoniaceae. The record is from RNAcentral.